AAUAAACAAACUGGCUCUAAAAACCUAGGUUGGGCACUCGAAUGGCUCUGCCUCCAAUGGCGACAUUACUUCAUGUCUUAGUUGUUAUAAACAUGCUCCAACAAGCCACUUGGUCAGCAAAUAUAUAUGUUUCUAACAGAGCAACGAAAGAUAAGGAUUGUGGUACGAGUGAGGAAGAUCCCUGUCGUACAAUCAACGCUGCUUUGAAGAUUGAGAAAAAAGGUUUGUCUCAGAUAACCAUCAUAUCUACCGGGAGCAAAUACCAAGAUUGUCCGAUACAAGUAAACAAGCCUUUCGCUUUCAAAGGGCUCUACGGAAGUCCGGUCAUAGACUGUGGUGGCAGGGAU
This is a long non-coding RNA of Dendronephthya gigantea, 347 nucleotides long. RefSeq lists it as uncharacterized. The record is from RefSeq and is a predicted model, not a curated record. NCBI's taxonomy places the organism in Eukaryota, Metazoa, Cnidaria, Anthozoa, Malacalcyonacea, Nephtheidae. The transcript has 3 exons.